UACGUAGGGGGCAAGCGUUGUCCGGAUUUAUUGGGCGUAAAGCGCGUGUAGGCGGCUCGGUAAGUCCGCUCUGAAAGUCCGGGGCUCAACCCCGGGAGGCGGGUGGAUACUGUCGAGCUCGAGUCCGGAAGAGGCGAGUGGAAUUCCUGGUGUAGCGGUGAAAUGCGCAGAUAUCAGGAGGAACACCGAUGGCGAAGGCAGCUCGCUGGGACGUGACUGACGCUGAGACGCGAAAGCGUGGGGAGCAAACAGG
Molecule: ribosomal RNA, 253 nt
Filed under: uncultured bacterium
Lineage: Bacteria
Description: partial 16S ribosomal RNA
Rfam family: Bacterial small subunit ribosomal RNA
Source: RNAcentral